CCUAUUUCCUGACUUCUGUCUCAGUCUCUUCCUAUGUUUUCAAGGAGCAAGACUAGCAUCACAAGCGUGAGUUUUGGAGUCAAAGGUCAGAAGUUGUCCUGUCUGAGGACAAGAGCUGCACCAGAUGACUUCUCAAGAUCCCUUUGACCCUUAUGAUUGUCUACUGGCAUAAAUAUAAGGGUUUGUUCA
This is a long non-coding RNA of Pan troglodytes (chimpanzee), 189 nucleotides long. RefSeq lists it as uncharacterized. The transcript has 2 exons. Lineage: Eukaryota; Metazoa; Chordata; Mammalia; Primates; Hominidae. The record is from RefSeq and is a predicted model, not a curated record.